CCGCUUCCUAAGGGGUGGCCACUGCGCCUGAGAUGUUGCUUACAGCAGACCCUUUGAACCUGAUCCGGAUAACACCGGCGUAGGAAUAGGUAUCUGCCUUUGG
This is a regulatory RNA element of marine gamma proteobacterium HTCC2148, 103 nucleotides long. It matches the Rfam family "TPP riboswitch aptamer (THI element)". Rfam says of the family: Vitamin B(1) in its active form thiamin pyrophosphate (TPP) is an essential coenzyme that is synthesised by coupling of pyrimidine and thiazole moieties in bacteria. The previously detected thiamin-regulatory element, thi box was extended, resulting in a new, highly conserved RNA secondary structure, the THI element, which is widely distributed in eubacteria and also occurs in some archaea. Analysis of operon structures identified a large number of new candidate thiamin-regulated genes, mostly transporters, in various prokaryotic organisms. The record is from Rfam. Lineage: Bacteria; Pseudomonadati; Pseudomonadota; Gammaproteobacteria; Cellvibrionales; Halieaceae.